This is a non-coding RNA of Danio rerio (zebrafish), 745 nucleotides long. NCBI's taxonomy places the organism in Eukaryota, Metazoa, Chordata, Actinopteri, Cypriniformes, Danionidae. The record is from Ensembl.
CAAGAAAUGAAGGUUGAUUGUAAAAGUUGCUCUCGGUCGAUAAACACAUCGAGCAAAACAGUUGAGCGAUUUCAGACGAUGUCUACAAGACCUUUCAAGUUUCUAGCAGGAAUCGAAAGUUGUAAGACCUUGACGGGAGGAAGAGGAGAGAAACGGAAAGCGGAUGAUGAUUUUCAGAGAGUUUCUGGUGGAGGUAAAUCAUACGCUCUGCGGAAACGCAUCAAAGUUUCAGAGAUGGAGAACACAAGAGACACUGAGAUGACCAGUUUUCAGGAGAAAACCAGCUCAGGAGGAAGAGGAGAGAAGCGGAAAGCAGAUGAUGCUUUUCAGAGUGUUUCUGGUGGAGGCAAACCAUCUGCCCACCGGAAACGCAUUAAAGUUACAGAGCUGGAGAACACAAGAGAAGACGCCGACACAGAGGCGUCCAGCUCAGGAGGAAGAGGAGUGAAGAGGAAAGCGGAUGAUGAUUUGCAGAGUGUUUCUGACAGAGUCAAACCAUACGCUCUGCGGAAACGCAUCAAAGCUGCAGAGACGUCCAGCGAUGAGAACAGCCGCUCAGGAGGAAGAGGAGUGAAGCGGAAAGCGGAUGAUGAUUUUCAGAGUGUUUCUGGUGAAGGCAAACCAUACGCUCUGAGGAAACGCAUCAAAGCUGCAGAGCUGGAGAACACAAGAGACGCCGCCGACACAGAGGCGUCCAGCUCAGGUCAGUCCACUCUUUAUGACUGGAAAAUGCUGGAAAACUAUU